GGGAAGGGUGAGAACCUUCGACUAAGGUUCGAUUCGAGCGAAAGCGAGAGAACGUUGCCACAGGCAACGGCCCGAAGGGUGAGGAGCGAAGCGACGAAUAAUCCUUCCCCCACCACCA
RNAcentral lists this small RNA (118 nucleotides) under Escherichia coli. Its description in RNAcentral is "partial RtT sRNA". It matches the Rfam family "RtT RNA", at positions 15 to 130 of the family's 130-position model. From Rfam's summary of the family: This family represents a bacterial cis-regulatory element known as RtT RNA. The exact function of RtT is unknown although it is thought that it may be involved in changing the cellular response in relation to amino acid starvation. Lineage: Bacteria; Pseudomonadati; Pseudomonadota; Gammaproteobacteria; Enterobacterales; Enterobacteriaceae. The record is from RNAcentral.